Molecule: ribosomal RNA, 517 nt
Filed under: Austrobela levis
Lineage: Eukaryota; Metazoa; Mollusca; Gastropoda; Neogastropoda; Raphitomidae
Description: partial large subunit ribosomal RNA
Rfam family: Bacterial large subunit ribosomal RNA
Source: RNAcentral
AAAAACAUGGCUUCUCGAAUCUAAUUUAUGUGAAGUCGUACCUGCCCAGUGAAGUUUUAACGGCCGCGGUACUCUGACCGUGCAAAGGUAGCAUAAUAAUUUGCCUUAUAAUUGAAGGCUGGAAUGAAUGGUUUGUCAAGGAUAAAACUGUCUCUAUAAAAUUAUAUAGAAUUUUAUUUUUAGGUGAAAAAGCCUAAAUUUCAUUAAAAGACAAGAAGACCCUAUCGAGCUUUAAAAAACUUAAUAAAUACUUAUAACUAAUUAGGAGUUUAAUUAUUAAAAAUUUUGGUUGGGGCAACCUAGGAGUAAAUAAAGCCUCCUUUUUUUAAAAAACCAUUUUGUAAGGAUCCAAAAAUUUUGAUCAAAAGAAAUAGUUACCGUAGGGAUAACAGCAUUAUUUUUUUUAAGAGCUCUUAUCGAAAAAAAAGUUUGUGACCUCGAUGUUGGACCAGAAUAUCCUGAAGAUGUAGAAGUCUUCAAGGGUUGGUCUGUUCGACCAUUAAAAUUCUACGUGAUC